Molecule: microRNA, 22 nt
Filed under: Murid gammaherpesvirus 4 (Murine herpesvirus 68)
Lineage: Duplodnaviria; Heunggongvirae; Peploviricota; Herviviricetes; Herpesvirales; Orthoherpesviridae
Description: mghv-miR-M1-4-5p
Gene: mghv-miR-M1-4-5p
Source: miRBase by way of RNAcentral
UCGAGGAGCACGUGUUAUUCUA